This 274-nucleotide ribosomal RNA is filed under the name uncultured bacterium. Its description in RNAcentral is "partial 16S ribosomal RNA". It matches the Rfam family "Bacterial small subunit ribosomal RNA", at positions 523 to 796 of the family's 1533-position model. The record is from RNAcentral.
AUACGAAGGUCCCAAGCGUUAUUCGGAAUCACUGGGCGUAAAGGGUACGUAGGCGGUUUGGUAAGUCAGGUGUGAAAUCCCGAAGCUCAACUUCGGAACUGCAUCCGAUACUGCCAGACUAGAGUAAUGGAGAGGCAGGUGGAAUUCUCGGUGUAGCAGUGAAAUGCGUGGAUAUCGAGAGGAAGACCAAUGGCGAAGGCAGCCUGCUGGACAUUUACUGACGCUGAGGUACGAAGGCUAGGGGAGCGAAAGGGAUUAGAAACCCCGGUAGUCC